This 211-nucleotide unclassified non-coding RNA is filed under the name air metagenome. RNAcentral's name for it is "partial contains small subunit ribosomal RNA, internal transcribed spacer 1, and 5.8S ribosomal RNA". The stretch from base 1 to 46 matches the Rfam family "Eukaryotic small subunit ribosomal RNA", at positions 1786 to 1831 of the family's 1831-position model. The record is from RNAcentral.
AAGUCGUAACAAGGUUUCCGUAGGUGAACCUGCGGAAGGAUCAUUAAUGAAAUACACCUCGCUGUGCGCUUCGCGGCUGCACGCUUGGGAUAUUAUCCACACCUGUGCACUUUCGAUUGGCUUCGGCCUUUCGCUUCACACUUACUACGUCUGUCUUGAAUGUCAUUUACUUUAUAUAAUACAACUAUCAGCAACGGAUCUCUUGGCUCUC